Molecule: ribosomal RNA, 496 nt
Filed under: uncultured bacterium
Lineage: Bacteria
Description: partial 16S ribosomal RNA
Rfam family: Bacterial small subunit ribosomal RNA
Source: RNAcentral
AUGAACGCUGGCGGCGUGCCUAAUACCUGCAAGUCGCGCGAACAGACGAGGAGCUUGCUCCUCUGACGUUAGCGGCGGACGGGUGAGUAACACGUGGAUAACCUACCUAUAAGACUGGGAUAACUUCGGGAAACCGGAGCUAAUACCGGAUAAUAUAUUGAACCGCAUGGUUCAAUAGUGAAAGACGGUUUUGCUGUCACUUAUAGAUGGAUCCGCGCCGCAUUAGCUAGUUGGUAAGGUAACGGCUUACCAAGGCAACGAUGCGUAGCCGACCUGAGAGGGUGAUCGGCCACACUGGAACUGAGACACGGUCCAGACGCCUACGGGAGGCAGCAGUAGGGAAUCUUCCGCAAUGGGCGAAAGCCUGACGGAGCAACGCCGCGUGAGUGAUGAAGGUCUUCGGAUCGUAAAACUCUGUUAUUAGGGAAGAACAAAUGUGUAAGUAACUAUGCACGUCUUGACGGUACCUAAUCAGAAAGCCACGGCUAACUACGUG